Molecule: non-coding RNA, 22 nt
Filed under: Arabidopsis thaliana (thale cress)
Lineage: Eukaryota; Viridiplantae; Streptophyta; Magnoliopsida; Brassicales; Brassicaceae
Source: RNAcentral
UACACAAAUCUCAUGGGCUAAG